Phthorimaea operculella (potato tuberworm) is the source of this 72-nucleotide non-coding RNA. The record is from the annotation of a GenBank genome assembly. Lineage: Eukaryota; Metazoa; Arthropoda; Insecta; Lepidoptera; Gelechiidae.
GCAUGGAUAGCUCAGUGGCAGAGUGGUGGGGCGAUGAUCCAUGCGGCCCCAGUUCGAGCCCUGGUCCAUACA